Molecule: unclassified non-coding RNA, 1129 nt
Filed under: Acromyrmex echinatior (Panamanian leafcutter ant)
Lineage: Eukaryota; Metazoa; Arthropoda; Insecta; Hymenoptera; Formicidae
Description: uncharacterized LOC105143692, transcript variant X2
Source: RNAcentral
UCUCACUCGAAUUACAGAAUCGACCCGGACGUCAUUUCGGGAUUGCAUUUACGUGUUCUGCGCGUAUCUGCAUUAUUGUUAUUUUCUUUCUUUCUUUAUUUGGCUCUCUUCAGGGGUUGGCUUGUUUUCUUUUUACUGACGGACGUCCGCAUAUUUCUCUGGUUUUUCAACAGUGCAACCGCCGCACGUGGCAGCGUCUCCCCCAUAGAGGCAUGGCUUCGGACUCAAGUGGGAGAACUAAUCAUAGCCCGCGUAGCGUUUCCUCUUCCCUUCACUCUCCUAUCCUUGUCUACAAUCCGCAUGAGCCUGUAAAUUCUAUUCCAAGUACAAUGGAUUCCAAAGCACCGGAAAAUCUAUCCGAUUCUCAAUGCGAUAUUCUCAAUCUGUUUCAGAGUUCGCCCAUGGACAUCGAUGAAAUAAUUAACUCAAGGAAACGUCCCUCUUCUGACCGGGACGUAAGCCAAGAUUCGCCCCUCGUUACCCCACCUCCCCGAAAAAAUCUUCUGAGGUUAUUUCCUCAUCUUCAAAUACACAAGGAUCGCAACAACAACAACAACAGGGCAAAGGCAGUCGGACACAUUGCAAAAGUGUACAAGAGCCAGCCAAAAUGCCUUUAUUGUGGGAGCAAUAGACACAAAGCGGAAGUCGAGAGCUCUUGUUCUGAAGAGGGUGACAAGUGCAUUAACUGCAAAGAUUUAGAUGACUAUGGAGGAGAAUAUUAUAGAUCUUAUGCAGAUGUCAAUUCGAGUUCAAGAUCGUACUGCUUCUGGUAGCUUCAACAGCGGGCUCAACAAGAGCCGUUCUUCUCCUCACGAAGCAACCCCUUCCAGCGCUCCGCCUCCUCGCAGAAACUCCAGUCAGCAACAUUUUGACGCAGGCAGGAUGCUGUCUUCAUCUAUACAGACGGAUCUAAGGAACCGGGCAUCGCAGUAGGAGCCGGCGUCUAUUCAUCGGCUCUGGACUUCGCUAUUGAGCAUAAACUUCCCAGGGAAACUUCUAUCUUUUCGGCGGAACUAUGGACUAUAUUUCAAGCCACGUUUUUCGCCAAGGACUGCGAAAAUAAAAAUAUUAUCAUAUUUUCCGAUUCCAAAAGUGCUCUUGACGCAAUAAAUUACAAUAGAUUACAAUA